GCCGAGGUGGUGAAAUGGCAGACACGCUAGUUUCAGGUACUAGUGCCCGCAAGGGCGUAGGGGUUCAACUCCCCUCUUCGGCA
Molecule: transfer RNA, 83 nt
Filed under: bacterium
Lineage: Bacteria
Description: tRNA-Leu
Rfam family: tRNA
About the family: Transfer RNA (tRNA) molecules are approximately 80 nucleotides in length. Their secondary structure includes four short double-helical elements and three loops (D, anti-codon, and T loops). Further hydrogen bonds mediate the characteristic L-shaped molecular structure. tRNAs have two regions of fundamental functional importance: the anti-codon, which is responsible for specific mRNA codon recognition, and the 3' end, to which the tRNAs corresponding amino acid is attached (by aminoacyl-tRNA synthetases). tRNAs cope with the degeneracy of the genetic code in two manners: having more than one tRNA (with a specific anti-codon) for a particular amino acid; and 'wobble' base-pairing, i.e. permitting non-standard base-pairing at the 3rd anti-codon position.
Source: RNAcentral